ACACCGAUGGUGAAGUGGUUAUCAUGCUUGCCUUCCAUUGAGUUAGCAAGCGGCACGGGUUCGAUUCCCGUUCGGUGUA
Trametes maxima is the source of this 79-nucleotide non-coding RNA. The record is from the annotation of a GenBank genome assembly. Lineage: Eukaryota; Fungi; Basidiomycota; Agaricomycetes; Polyporales; Polyporaceae.